RNAcentral lists this transfer RNA (66 nucleotides) under Echinostoma miyagawai. Its description in RNAcentral is "tRNA-Tyr". Lineage: Eukaryota; Metazoa; Platyhelminthes; Trematoda; Plagiorchiida; Echinostomatidae. The record is from RNAcentral.
GCCGACUUAGUAUAUGGUUAGUGCAUGGGAUUGUAGCUCCCGGGGAAGAGAUUAUUCUGGUCGGAG